CUAUUAUGCCUCAAGUUAAUUAUCUUGUGACGCAAUUUCAUAUUUUAUGGUCUGAUUGCUCUAGGUGGAACUGACCGCUCUACUGCAGUGUGAUUGCUCUAGAUGGAACUGACUGCUCUAUUGCGAGACAUUACUAGGUCGCCAGUCGGUUCUUGAUUUCGAUUACGGCCGUGAUAUUGUGAUAUUACCCAUGAACUGGAGAAUGGAGUGAAAACAAUUGGUCUACUGAUGGACUUGACAGUUCGUAUUUUUUAUGGCAAAUGCAUCGAAUUUCAGUGUUAGAGUCUGCCUUUUGGUAUGUCCUUGUGGUGCGUUGCCUCUCCAUUAAAUUCUCAUGUUCGCAGAUUCUGGAGUGUAGUUAUAUUAUGUCAUGUCUUUUUAGAUGAAAAUAGAAUGGAGUGGUACGUUCCAUCACUUGGGACCAUGUAAUUAUAUUAUUUGAUAUUUAGUAUAGAGUUCUGAACUAUCUUGGUUGGGCUUGGUUCAGGCAAAAAAAUACUUCUGUAAAGUUGUAGUCACAACUAUAAUUAUCCGAGGAAGUGUUCUAAAAGGAUAUGUCUAGCCCUACU
This 569-nucleotide long non-coding RNA is filed under the name Triticum aestivum (bread wheat). RNAcentral describes it as "long non-coding RNA (TAES_LNC010499)". The record is from RNAcentral. Lineage: Eukaryota; Viridiplantae; Streptophyta; Magnoliopsida; Poales; Poaceae.